This 502-nucleotide ribosomal RNA is filed under the name uncultured bacterium. RNAcentral describes it as "bacterial SSU rRNA". It matches the Rfam family "Bacterial small subunit ribosomal RNA", at positions 28 to 507 of the family's 1533-position model. The record is from RNAcentral.
GAUGAACGCUAGCGGCAGGCUUAAUACAUGCAAGUCGAGGGGCAUCAAGGUACACGAAAGUGUAUUGUUGGCGACCGGCGGACGGGUGAGUAAUAGGUAGGUAACCUACCUCAUACUGAGGCAUAGCUGGGAGAAAUUCCAGGUAAUUCCUCAUGAGGUUAUAUGACACAUGUGAUAUAAUCAAAGGUAUCGCAAGGUACUGGUAUGAGAUGGGCUUACUGACCAUUAGCUAGUUGGUGAGGAUAAGAGCUCACCAAGGCGAAGAUGGUUAGGGGUUUUGAGAGAGAGAUCCCCCACAUUGGAACUGAGAUACGGUCCAGACUCCUACGGGAGGCAGCAGUAGGGAAUAUUGGGCAAUGGGCGGAAGCCUGACCCAGCCAUGCCGCGUGAAGGAAGACGGCCUUAUGGGUUGUAAACUGCUUUUGUACGGAACGAAAAGACUCUUUCUAAUAAAGAGGGUCCAUGACGGUACCGUAAGAAUAAGCAACCGGCUAACUACGUG